AGGGGGAUAACAUCCGGAAACGGGUGCUAAUACCGCAUAGUUUUCUUGAUCGCAUGAUCGGGAAAGGAAAGACGGCCUUUGUGCUGUCGCUUAUGGAUGGACCCGCGGCGUAUUAGUUAGUUGGUGAGGUAACGGCUCACCAAGACGAUGAUACGUAGCCGACCUGAGAGGGUGAUCGGCCACAUUGGGACUGAGACACGGCCCAAACUCCUACGGGAGGCAGCAGUAGGGAAUCUUCCGCAAUGGACGAAAGUCUGACGGAGCAACGCCGCGUGAGUGAAGAAGGUUUUCGGAAUCGUAAAACUCUGUUGUCAGAGAAGAACAAGUUGGAGAGUAACUGCUCCAGCCUUGACGGUAUCUGACCAGAAAGCCACGGCUAACUACGUGCCAGCAGCAGC
RNAcentral lists this ribosomal RNA (398 nucleotides) under uncultured bacterium. RNAcentral's name for it is "bacterial SSU rRNA". It matches the Rfam family "Bacterial small subunit ribosomal RNA", at positions 137 to 518 of the family's 1533-position model. The record is from RNAcentral.